This 498-nucleotide ribosomal RNA is filed under the name uncultured bacterium. Its description in RNAcentral is "partial 16S ribosomal RNA". It matches the Rfam family "Bacterial small subunit ribosomal RNA", at positions 30 to 523 of the family's 1533-position model. The record is from RNAcentral.
AUUGAACGCUGGCGGCAUGCCUUACACAUGCAAGUCGAACGGUAACAGGUCUUCGGAUGCUGACGAGUGGCGAACGGGGGAGUAAUACAUCGGAACGUGCCCAGUCGUGGGGGAUAACGAAGCGAAAGCUUUGCUAAUACCGCAUACGAUCUACGGAUGAAAGCGGGGGAUCGCAAGACCUCGCGCGAUUGGAGCGGCCGAUGGCAGAUUAGGUAGUUGGUGGGGUAAAGGCUUACCAAGCCUACGAUCUGUAGCUGGUCUGAGAGGACGACCAGCCACACUGGGACUGAGACACGGCCCAGACUCCUACGGGAGGCAGCAGUGGGGAAUUUUGGACAAUGGGCGCAAGCCUGAUCCAGCAAUGCCGCGUGCAGGAUGAAGGCCUUCGGGUUGUAAACUGCUUUUGUACGGAACGAAAAGCUCUGGGUUAAUACCCUGGGGUCAUGACGGUACCGUAAGAAUAAGCACCGGCUAACUACGUGCCAGCAGCCGCCGCCG